UACCAGCACCCCGAGUGGUCGGGACGAUUAUUGGGCCUAAAGCAUCCGUAGCCGGUCUUGCAAGUCUUCCGUUAAAUCCAGCUGCUUAACAGAUGGGCUGCGGAGGAUACUAUAAGGCUAGGAGGCGGGAGAGGCAAGCGGUACUCAGUGGGUAGGGGUAAAAUCCUCUGAUCCAUUGAAGACCACCAGUGGCGAAGGCGGCUUGCCAGAACGCGCUCGACGGUGAGGGAUGAAAGCUGGGGGAGCAAACCGG
Molecule: ribosomal RNA, 253 nt
Filed under: uncultured bacterium
Lineage: Bacteria
Description: partial 16S ribosomal RNA
Rfam family: Archaeal small subunit ribosomal RNA
Source: RNAcentral